Molecule: unclassified non-coding RNA, 446 nt
Filed under: Melitaea cinxia (Glanville fritillary)
Lineage: Eukaryota; Metazoa; Arthropoda; Insecta; Lepidoptera; Nymphalidae
Description: misc RNA ENSMCXG00005001127.1
Source: RNAcentral
GAGGAAGUUUCUAAAGAAGUUUGAAAGUCGAAUAAGUAAUAUUUUAAGUAGAAAUACCGGUGACACCGAUCUGUCAAAUUUGAUCAAAACGUCGAAAUUUCCGUUUAGUACGGGAUAUUUAUCUAUAUCGACGAAAAAUUUAAACAAUUUUCUGAGAAAUUCCCAAAUUACAUCGACAGUUAUAUCUGAAACGAAAAGCAAUUUAAUAAUAACGAUACACAAAAAGUUUACAAGUGGUUACGCGGCUGGGAAGUGUGUGCUUAGUCUGUGGGACUUGAGUGUUGCCAGCCGAGAACCGUUAAAGAUACUCAUCUCCACAGAUAAUGUUAAAAUCGGACGAUUUAGAGGAAGUACUGAUGGGUUUUUCGUGGGCGCUCUAGAAGAGGGAUCAAUUCAACUAUGGGAUUUAUCAGAGCAGCCAACUUGGACCAACGAUUUUACUACAG